Molecule: ribosomal RNA, 406 nt
Filed under: uncultured bacterium
Lineage: Bacteria
Description: partial 16S ribosomal RNA
Rfam family: Bacterial small subunit ribosomal RNA
Source: RNAcentral
AUUGAACGCUGGCGGCAGGCCUAACACAUGCAAGUCGAGCGAGCGGCGGACGGGUGAGUAAUGUCUGGGAAACUGCAUGAUGGAGGGGGAUAACUACUGGAAACGGUAGCUAAUACCGCAUACAAUCAGAUGUGCCCAGAUGGGCUUAGCUAGUAGGUGGGGUAACGGCUCACCUAGGCGACGAUCCCUAGCUGAACUGAGAGGAUGACCAGCCACACUGGAACUGAGACACGGUCCAGACUCGUACGGGAGGCGUCAGUGGGAAAUAUUGCACAAUGGGAGCAAGCCGGAUGCAGCCAUACCGCGUGUGUGAAGAAGGCCUACGAGUUGUAAAGCACUUUCAGCGGGGAGGCGUUACCAGCAGAAGAAGCACCAGCUAACUCCGUACCAGAAGCCGCGGUAAUAC